UACAAGUUGAAAACCAGCAGCCAGCUUCAAAUACAUUUUCUUCAUGCCCUCUCUGAAGUACUUCGUUUUUCCUGUGACACCUUAAUUCUGCCACGCUAUUCCAGCAUGCUGAGAAUAGACUUCUCAAUGCCCUGCGGCUCUCACGGGUAAGGUGGUGUUACUCUCAUUUCUGGGUAAGAAGAAACUCAAGCCACCCGUCAAUUGCUGGUGUAUUCAUUAGGGAUCGGCCACGUGUCCUGCAAUGAGUCUAGGCCUCCUCACAGGAGGAGAGUCAAGAUAAAAUAAGGAUAAUGUGCUAGAUGCAACUUACUACUUGGUUCCAAGGGAUGAAGUGCUGGCCGGGAACCAAAGGAAGGUCACUGUGUCUGGGGCACAGAGUGCAUAGGUUUUUCAUUGUUGUGAAUGGAGGGACCUUGGACACCUUAGUUACCUUCACUUGGCGUCAAUUUUCCAAUCUGUAAAAUGGCAACAAUGAUACUUCACCACAUCAGGUUGUUCUGAAGACUAAAUGAGCUCAAGCGCCUGAAACAUAGUAACUACUCAGCUAUUUUUAUAAUAAGUCCUUUAUUUCUCAGUUUGGGAGAGAGAUAGUCAACAGCUUUUUGCUACAUGUUGCCACUCCCUUAGAUGGUCAGGGCCCACGGUUAGGAGCCUCUUACAACUUUGAUUUUGGGGGUGGUGAGAACGAUCUUCCUGGGCACCACGUACUAAGGGCUCCCUGUCCACGGUGCCAGCUGAGCAAGGCGGGGUCAUUGUCUAGUUACCAUUUCAUGGUCAGCAGAUCUUUUUCGUCUUCCUUUCCCUCUACAAAGACAGAAUAACAGGCUUCCAGGUCCCUACGCCCCAAGGAAGAGACUGACCAGGAACCCAUGAAGGCUGGGUUCAAUGAGACAAGUACAUCCUUGCAACUAAAGGUGCAGGAAGUCAGCCAGGACUUCCAGGCGUGGAGCCUGGUCACUUCUGUCUUGUUCAUGGCUUAGAACAGCGCCUGGAACAUGGUAAACGGUUCAUAAAUGUUGGGGAGGAUAAACAGUCCCCUCUUGUGAAUGUCACACUGCCUGCUGUCCUCAGAGGCUCUGGCUUCCUGUGUCUCUUAGACUGUGAUGCCAUGAUGCCAACAGGUGAGGUCCAAACUCAGAGUGAGAGCACACAGCAGCCCUGCCUGGCCCUCCCCGUGUCCCCGGUCCUACCACAUUUCCUCUGCAUCACCUGUCCAGGCUUCUCAUCACUGAGUCUGCUGUUCCCCCUGUGCCCAGGGCUCUUCCCACCAUUGUCCCUAGCCCAGCCCUGUAAGGUGCAGGAAACCAGCCAACAGGACCCUGGCCCCAGCCACAUCUGGAUCUCCAACCUCAAUCUCCAUCUAUACCGGGGAAUGUGAAAUUACAGUCUGCAGGCCAGAUCUGGUCAGUGGUCGGUUUUUGUAAGGACCUUGGACUGAGAAUGGUGUUUACAUUUCCAAAGGGUUGAAAAUUUUAAAAAGAAUGCACAACAGAGACUAUAUGGCUGACGAAGCCCAAAACACUGACUCUCUGGUCCUUCAUGGAAAAGGCUUGCUGACUCCUGGCCCAGAUAGUCCUCUGAUACACUAGCCGGGAGGACGGACUGUGUGAACCAGGCCCCGUGUCAGGGCUUCAGGCUCGGAGUUAUUUCUUGCCACUUACCAACCCCGAGACAGGUGGGGUUCUCGUCCCUUGUAGAGAUGGAGGAAACUGAGGCAUAAGAGGUUAAUUCACUUGCCUGAGAAUCUAAAUAAAUGGCAGAGCCAGGAUUCAAACCCAGACAGGCAGAUUUUUAAAAAAAAAAUUUUUUUUAACGUUUAUUUAUUUUUGUGACAGACAGAGACAGAGCAUGAACAGGGGAGGAGCAGAGAGAGAGGGAGACACAGAACUUGAAACAGGCUCCAGGCUCUGAGCUGUCAGCACAAAGCCCGACGCGGGGCUCGAACUCACCGACCGUGAGAUCAUGACCUGAGCCGAAGUCGGACGCUUAACCGACCAAGCCACCCAGGCGCAGACAGGCAGAUUUUUCAAUCAUGGUGCCAUUUUUCUUCUGGACACUGCCUAGCACAAGCUUUAGGACUCGCCCAUACUCUGUCCCAUUCCGGACCCCUUGUCGCGGAGAUGAACUUCAGAAAACACCGCCCUCUGCCAGCAUGAGUUUCUGUCUUCCUCUGACCCACAGUCAGUGACCAGGUGUUUGGUACCCCUGCCUCCUCUCCCCUCCCGGCCACCCCCCAAGACAGUUCAUCUCCUGUGGGGCCGACAAGGCUGUGCUGCCUCUGUCUGCCCCACGCAGUGGCCUGGAACCCUAUUCUGUCCUGCUCCCUGAGUCCUGACGCUUUUCCAUGAGCUGGGCCUGAAGUUGUUCCCACUGAGUCUCUCUUCCUGGGGCAUCCCUGUGCCCUCUUGUCUCUGCUUCCUUCCACCCAUCUUGUCCCUCCCAUGAGGAACUGGAUCCAUGGCCUCGGGUCAAGAGUGCACACGUGGGAGGUGCAGUUAACUCCUGGUACCGGGCCUGGACCCUUUGUAGCCCAAGGACUGCGGCUGAGAUCCUCCCCUCCUGGGAGAAAGGGGAGAAGCUCCAGGGUUCAGAGUAACAUGGAGGACAGCCCAGAGGUGGUGUUGCAACCCAGGGGAAACAUUGCACUUCAGGGCUGUGCAGGUGGAGUGGUGCCUUGCGAUCAACAGUCUAAGCGCAGGGGCACAGGAGGGGUAAGAAUGGAAAGACAGCUGCCAAGAGGAACAGAGAGCUUCUCAAAUCACCCCCAGCCGGUCUCCUCCCCACAGCACCAGCCCGGCUUUGACAAAACCCGCCCUUCCGGUAGUAGUCCCUCCACCUUGGCUGGAAAUCACUGUGUGCAGAGUGAAGACAGAGGCCAUCUUCUAGUGUGACCGUGGACAGGUUACUUAGCGCUCUGUGCCUUACAUUCCUCUUUUUUUCAGAUGGUGAUGGUGGUAAGUACGUGGUAGGGUCUUAUUCAUAGAUCACAUGCUCCUGGCACUUAGUAGGUGCUGAGUGUGAGAAUGACUCCCCCGGGGGAUGCUGAAUUGUGAGCUCUUCCCAGGUCAUCCUGGGAAGGAUGCUCUCAAGAACGCUCUGCAAUUGAGGAUGUACGGGAGGCCCCUAGGUCAAGGCUGACAGGAGAGGCCUCUCAAGGGCCCGACCAACAUGCUGUGUUUCUCCUUCUGACGCUGAAGAGGCAGACUCUCUCCAGACUGGAGAGUCUCGCCAGCGUCUCAGACUUCUGAUUCCCCUGGCUUCGUAUCCACCUUUCUGUGGUCUUCUCCAUCCUUGUUAAUGACAACGCCAACUCUUCAGUCGCUCAGCCUUGGAGUCAGUUAACCUUGGUCUCCCCAUCACUCACCUGUCCUAUCCAGACCAUCAGCAAACCAUACCCAGAAUAUCAUGCCCUCUCACCACCCCAAAGCCCCUACCUGGGUCCCAGCCGCCGUCAUUUCUUGCCUGCAUUAGUACGACAGCCCUUGACGGGUCUCUGCGUCUGCCCUUUGCCCCUCUACAAUCUGUUCUCACAGCAACAGCCAGAGUCACCCUUAGAAAUCAAGCCGGGGCACAUGACCUUUCUGCUUCAAACCCCUCUGCAGGCUUCCCAUCCUGUCCAGAGUAAAAGCCACGGGCCUUGCAAUGGUCUGGGAGGCCCAUGUGAACCAGCCCCGCUACCCUGACCAUGCCCUCGUUCCUUCUGUCCUCUUCAUCCCACCUGCCAUCCUGCCCCUGCCCUCUCGCAGACACUUGAGCUCCACUCAACAGCUUUCGCUCUUGCUGGACUCCCUCAUCACCGCUCACUCCCUUAGUUCUUCCAGGCCUUUGUUCUGGCCUUCCACCUCAGCCAGGCCUCCCCUGGCCACUAUUUCACAUUCACCGUCGUACCCCCCCCCCACCACCACCACCACUCUGCAAGUCUCAUUCUUCUCUUUCCUGCCUUUAUUUUUCUCCGUUGUUCUUGGCACCUCGUACCGUGCCUCACGAUUGUGUGAGUUGAUCCAUUAGUGCCCCUUAUCUCGCUGGAGAUUCAAUUCCAGGGGGGCAGGGAUUUCUGUCUUAGCCCCCGCUGAGAACCCCACCUGUGACAUGGUAGCACUCUGUAAAUAUUUGUGGAAUGAAUGAAUGACCUUAGACCAAAGACAGCCGGCACAGAAAAUAAACCUCUAUUUCAAGCAAAAGCCCUUUGGUUUUAUAUAUAUAUAUGUGUAUAUAUAUGUAUAUAUAUAUACACACACAUACAUAUAUAUAUGUAAAUAUAUGUGUUUUAUAUAUUUAUAUAUGGCUGAAAGUUUCAAGCAUGUAUAUCAUAUAUAGACAUAGCAUGUAUAUCAAGAUAUAUAUAAAAAGUUCAUGUGUGUAUAUAUAUCUCUCAAAGACCAAAAUAUAUUUUAUAUAUAUAACCGAGGUGCCAUGUUUUUUGCAAAGGAGGACACUUUCUGGCUUCCCUGGCUGCCUGCCAAGAUGCACUCAAGCCGUGAUGUACAGUCAACGGGGCACUUUUCGCCUCUGGUUUUCCAGAGUGGAGAGCACAUCAUUGCCAGGAAGUUUCUGCCUCACUCUUAGUUCCCCAGGGUGGCCUGCCAGUCACCGGUGUGGUACCUCAGACAAUGGAGAUGCAGGGGCCGUGAUUCCCUGCCUGUAUGUCAAGGUCUUCGACGCCUACUUGUGCAUGAGCUGGAAGAGGCGUGCCCGUCUCAGAGCGUGCAGAGCUGGCGAAGUCCCCACGGUUUCUCUCCGUCUCCUGGACCCACUUUCCCCUCUUCACAGUGGCUUCUUUGUGUCCCCCAAGGGGCCAUCUCCUGCCCCUCCAGCUCAUCUCCAGCUCGUGGCUUUGCCGACUCCUCACCUACCUGUGCUGUUUUCUGUACUGCAUAGAACUGGGUCCUCCAGGAAGACAUAUUGGAGUCCUGACCCACAGCAACUGUGAGUGUGACCUUAUUUGGAAAUAGGGUCUGUGCGGACAUAAUCCAGUUUAGAUGAAGUCAUUCUGGAUCAAGAUGGCCUCCAAUCCAGCCAUGGUGUCUUUGUAAGAGAGAUGGACAGACGGGGAGAAGGCCGUGUGAAGGCAGGGGCAGACAUGGGUGGGGACGCUUCUGCAAGCCAUGUGGUGUGUAAGGUUGCUGGCCCACCACAAAGGCUAGAGGAGGCCAGGAAGGACCUUGCCUUUCAGGUGUCAGAGGGAGCAUGGCCCCAUGGACACCUCGAUUCAAGACCUUCAUCCUCCGGAACUGCAACAGAAUAAAGUUCUAUGGUUUUAAGCCUCCCAGUCUGUGGAGCUUUGGCCACCCCAGGAGACCCACACACUCCCCUCCA
RNAcentral lists this long non-coding RNA (5316 nucleotides) under Lynx pardinus (Iberian lynx). The stretch from base 809 to 943 matches the Rfam family "Pvt1 oncogene conserved region 7". Lineage: Eukaryota; Metazoa; Chordata; Mammalia; Carnivora; Felidae. The record is from RNAcentral.